This 548-nucleotide long non-coding RNA is filed under the name Struthio camelus australis. RNAcentral describes it as "lncRNA (ENSSCUG00000006849.1)". Lineage: Eukaryota; Metazoa; Chordata; Aves; Struthioniformes; Struthionidae. The record is from RNAcentral.
GUUUAACUCUUUCGGCAGCCAUUUAAACUCAAUUCAAGGAUUUUUCACUGAAGUGGCUGAGGAGUGCUCACAUGCUGUGUGCUGCCGACUCAGUGGUGCGGGUGGUAGUCUUGAGCCGCAGGAGCGGUACAAGUGACUAGAGGCAAGAAAAGAAAAGACAUGGCAAUAUCUUAAAUCUCACCUCUUGAGACAUUUUUACUGAUCAUGACCUGACUUAUGGUGAACUGCAAAACUACAAAAAAACAGAAAAAGCUCUGGGUCAAGCCCAAGGGUUACCCUGUAUAUGCUUAUCUUCCUCUAGUUAUGUUCUCUCUUCUGUGUUAUCCUAGUAACAGCAAGGAUUAAUGGCACAAGAGAAUUGAGUCAGCCUCCACGAAUGGGGAGGAAUGUCAUAUAAUAUUCGUUAUAUUGAAAGUCCAGACCAGUCUAAGGCCCCUACUUCGGAUCAACUCAUUAUCCCGAAUAAACGAUGUGUCAUUCCCAUUAUUUAUGUUUCACUGCAGCCAAAGUAUCUGGACCUCGUUUUGGCUGAUAUAAAUUUCCAGUGA